GACGAACGCUGGCGGCGUGCCUAAUACAUGCAAGUCGAGCGGAAUGAAGAAGAAGCUUGCUUCUUCUGAUUUUAGCGGCGGACGGGUGAGUAACACGUGGGCAACCUACCUUGUAGAUUGGGAUAACUCCGGGAAACCGGGGCUAAUACCGAAUAAUCCAUUUUGCUUCAUGGCGAGAUGUUGAAAGACGGUUUCGGCUGUCACUAUAAGAUGGGCCCGCGGCGCAUUAGCUAGUUGGUAGGGUAAUGGCCUACCAAGGCGACGAUGCGUAGCCGACCUGAGAGGGUGAUCGGCCACACUGGGACUGAGACACGGCCCAGACUCCUACGGGAGGCAGCAGUAGGGAAUCUUCCACAAUGGACGAAAGUCUGAUGGAGCAACGCCGCGUGAGUGAAGAAGGUUUUCGGAUCGUAAAACUCUGUUGUAAGGGAAGAACACGUACGAGAGUAACUGCUCGUACCUUGACGGUACCUUAUUAGAAAGCCACGGCUAACUACGCG
This 500-nucleotide ribosomal RNA is filed under the name uncultured bacterium. RNAcentral describes it as "bacterial SSU rRNA". It matches the Rfam family "Bacterial small subunit ribosomal RNA", at positions 28 to 507 of the family's 1533-position model. The record is from RNAcentral.